Molecule: ribosomal RNA, 165 nt
Filed under: Triticum aestivum (bread wheat)
Lineage: Eukaryota; Viridiplantae; Streptophyta; Magnoliopsida; Poales; Poaceae
Description: partial small subunit ribosomal RNA
Source: RNAcentral
AUGCAUUUGCAGAUCCAGAGGUUCUCGCUGUACAAGCAGAUCGAGCUGUUCCAGGGGACGCGGGCCUUCAUGCGGGAGAAGAUCGGGCGGGCGGCGGCGGACAAGCUGUUCGGCGAGGCAUACUACGUGGUGGCCAUGGGCGCCAACGACUUCAUCAACAACUAA